RNAcentral lists this ribosomal RNA (254 nucleotides) under uncultured bacterium. RNAcentral describes it as "partial 16S ribosomal RNA". It matches the Rfam family "Bacterial small subunit ribosomal RNA", at positions 524 to 776 of the family's 1533-position model. The record is from RNAcentral.
UACGGGGGGAGCAAGCGUUGUUCGGAUUUACUGGGCGUAAAGGGCGCGUAGGCGGCCACCGCAAGUCGGUUGUGAAAUCUCUGGGCUUAACCCAGAAAGGUCAACCGAUACUGCGGGGCUAGAGUGCAGAAGGGGCAACUGGAAUUCUCGGUGUAGCGGUGAAAUGCGCAGAUAUCAGGAAGAACACCUAUGGCGAAGGCAGCUCUCUGGGACGGUACUGACGCUGAGACGCGAAAGCGUGGGGAGCGAACAGG